GGAAUGAGUACAAUUUAAAUCCCUUAACGAGGAACAAUUGGAGGGCAAGUCUGGUGCCAGCAGCCGCGGUAAUUCCAGCUCCAAUAGCGUAUAUUAAAGUUGUUGUGGUUAAAAAGCUCGUAGUUGAACCUUGGGCCUGGCUGGCCGGUCCGCCUCACCGCGUGUACUGGUCCGGCCGGGCCUUUCCCUCUGUGGAACCCCAUGCCCUUCACUGGGUGUGGCGGGGAAACAGGACUUUUACUGUGAAAAAAUUAGAGUGCUCCAGGCAGGCCUAUGCUCGAAUACAUUAGCAUGGAAUAAUAGAAUAGGACGUGUGGUUCUAUUUUGUUGGUUUCUAGGACCGCCGUAAUGAUUAAUAGGGACAGUCGGGGGCAUCAGUAUUCAAUUGUCAGAGGUGAAAUUCUUGGAUUUAUUGAAGACUAACUACUGCGAAAGCAUUUGCCAAGGAUGUUUUCAUUAAUCAGGAACGAAAGUUAGGGGAUCGAAGACGAUCAGAUACCGUCGUAGUCUUAACCAUAAACUAUGCCGACUAGGGAUCGGACGGUGUUAUUUUUUGACCCGUUCGGCACCUUACGAGAAAUCAAAGUGCUUGGGCUCCAGGGGGAGUAUGGUCGCAAGGCUGAAACUUAAAGGA
This 634-nucleotide ribosomal RNA is filed under the name Fusarium sp. Its description in RNAcentral is "SSU rRNA". It matches the Rfam family "Eukaryotic small subunit ribosomal RNA", at positions 511 to 1151 of the family's 1831-position model. Lineage: Eukaryota; Fungi; Ascomycota; Sordariomycetes; Hypocreales; Nectriaceae. The record is from RNAcentral.